Molecule: long non-coding RNA, 386 nt
Filed under: Ricinus communis (castor bean)
Lineage: Eukaryota; Viridiplantae; Streptophyta; Magnoliopsida; Malpighiales; Euphorbiaceae
Description: long non-coding RNA (RCOM_LNC002853)
Source: RNAcentral
UUGAUUCUAAGUAUAUGUGAUGUAAAGAACAAUCCUUAAAAGACAUUCAAGUUAUUCCUAGCAUAUUUCUAAUAGUUAAAACGACAAGUAAAACACAAAAGAAAAAUCAGAAAUGGGUAGAAAUAUAAUGAUGUGAGUGCUUUGGAACCUCAGGUUGUUACUGUAUUAUGCAAAUGCUCGAGCCUCAAGUGAGGAGGAGGAGGUUGAAUGAAAUAUAGGGUAGGAAUCUAUAAUGUUUUAGGAUCUCUUUGAGGUUUAUUUUUGAGAGUGCAUGUACUGCCUCUAAUACUUACUGUCAUUCUACUAUGAGUUGUUAAAAAUUUAUGAGAAUUCCUCUCCUAAGCUUAAAGUUUCUUAAUUCUAUUUAUAGGAAAAAAAUUUAAAAA